This 253-nucleotide ribosomal RNA is filed under the name uncultured bacterium. RNAcentral's name for it is "partial 16S ribosomal RNA". It matches the Rfam family "Bacterial small subunit ribosomal RNA", at positions 524 to 776 of the family's 1533-position model. The record is from RNAcentral.
UACGAAGGGGGCUAGCGUUGUUCGGAAUUACUGGGCGUAAAGCGCACGUAGGCGGAUCGAUUAGUUGGUGGUGAAAGCCCAGGGCUCAACCUUGGAACUGCCAUCAAUACUGUCGAUCUGGAGCAUAGUAGAGGUUAGUGGAAUUCCAAGUGUAGAGGUGAAAUUCGUAGAUAUUUGGAGGAACACCAGUGGCGAAGGCGACUGACUGGGCUAUUGCUGACGCUGAGGUGCGAAAGCGUGGGGAGCAAACAGG